AUUGAACGCUGGCGGAAUGCUUUACACAUGCAAGUCGAACGGCAGCACGGGUGCUUGCACCUGGUGGCGAGUGGCGAACGGGUGAGUAAUACAUCGGAACGUACCCAGUCGUGGGGGAUAACGUAGCGAAAGUUACGCUAAUACCGCAUACGUCCUGAGGGAGAAAGCGGGGGACCGUAAGGCCUCGCGCGAUUGGAGCGGCCGAUGGCGGAUUAGCUAGUUGGUGGGGUAAAGGCCUACCAAGGCGACGAUCCGUAGCGGGUCUGAGAGGACGGCCCGCCACACUGGAACUGAGACACGGUCCAGGCUCCUACGGGAGGCAGCAGUGGGGAAUUUUGGACAAUGGGCGAACGCCUGAUCCAGCCAUUCCGCGUGAGUGAAGAAGGCCUUCGGGUUGUAAAGCUCUUUCGGCAGGGAAGAAACGGCUUGGGAUAAUACCCCGGGCUAAUGACGGUACCUGAAGAAGAAGCACCGGCUAACUACGUGCCAGCAGCCGCCGUAA
RNAcentral lists this ribosomal RNA (502 nucleotides) under uncultured bacterium. RNAcentral's name for it is "partial 16S ribosomal RNA". It matches the Rfam family "Bacterial small subunit ribosomal RNA", at positions 29 to 523 of the family's 1533-position model. The record is from RNAcentral.